This 361-nucleotide RNase P RNA is filed under the name Tannerellaceae bacterium. RNAcentral's name for it is "RNase P RNA component class A". It matches the Rfam family "Bacterial RNase P class A". Rfam says of the family: Ribonuclease P (RNase P) is a ubiquitous endoribonuclease, found in archaea, bacteria and eukarya as well as chloroplasts and mitochondria. Its best characterised activity is the generation of mature 5'-ends of tRNAs by cleaving the 5'-leader elements of precursor-tRNAs. Lineage: Bacteria; Pseudomonadati; Bacteroidota; Bacteroidia; Bacteroidales; Tannerellaceae. The record is from RNAcentral.
GCAGUCAGCCGGUCUGUCGCCCGAUUAAAAAAAUCGGGAGGAAAGUCCGGGCAACACAGGGCUCCAUACUUCCUAACGGGAAGUCGCCUGCAAAGGCGAAGUAACGUAACAGAAAAUAACCGUUCCGCACGUUCGGGACAAGGGUGAAAAGGCGAGGUAAGAGCUCACCGGGUGUCAUAGCGAUAUGAUAUGCCGUACGUCUUAUGGGUUGCGAGGUCAUGUAUACCGGCGCAGUAGGGUUGCCCGCCUGAUGCCGAGGGGUAGACCGCUCGAUCUUGCCGGCGACGGUAAGACAAGAUAAAUGACAGACGCCCGUGCGAAAGCAUGGAUACAGAACCCGGCUUACAGGCAGACUGCGGUU